AGGAGAAUUAAUGUGCGGUCUCUGAAACAUUAAUCGAGGGAUGCAAAGAGCUAGGAAGAAUAACUCAACCACACAGAACCACUUCAUCCUUUUAUAGUUAAUCCCUCUUUAGUUUUCUGUUACUAUGUCAUGCAGAAAGGCCAUAUGUUACUCAUGCGUUUGGAUCCCUGAAGCGUGUGGAUAUGGACUUGAGGGAAAGCUAAAAUAGAAAAAAAACCAAUAGAGGAAAACACUUGCAUGUAGAGAGAAUAUGAAUUGUACUGCUUUGAUUCUAA
RNAcentral lists this unclassified non-coding RNA (275 nucleotides) under Hevea brasiliensis (rubber tree). The record is from RNAcentral. Lineage: Eukaryota; Viridiplantae; Streptophyta; Magnoliopsida; Malpighiales; Euphorbiaceae.